This 468-nucleotide ribosomal RNA is filed under the name uncultured bacterium. Its description in RNAcentral is "partial 16S ribosomal RNA". It matches the Rfam family "Bacterial small subunit ribosomal RNA", at positions 28 to 507 of the family's 1533-position model. The record is from RNAcentral.
GACGAACGCUGGCGGCGUGCUUAACACAUGCAAGUCGAACGGAAAGGCCCUGCUUUUGUGGGGUGCUCGAGUGGCGAACGGGUGAGUAACACGUGAGUAACCUGCCCUUGACUUUGGGAUAACUUCAGGAAACUGGGGCUAAUACCGGAUAGGAGCUCCUGCUGCAUGGUGGGGGUUGGAAAGUUUCGGCGGUUGGGGAUGGACUCGCGGCUUAUCAGCUUGUUGGUGGGGUAGUGGCUUACCAAGGCUUUGACGGAUAGCCGGCCUGAGAGGGUGACCGGCCACAUUGGGACUGAGAUACGGCCCAGACUCCUACGGGAGGCAGCAGUGGGGAAUAUUGCACAAUGGGCGGAAGCCUGAUGCAGCAACGCCGCGUGCGGGAUGACGGCCUUCGGGUUGUAAACCGCUUUCGCCUGUGACGAAGCGUGAGUGACGGUAAUGGGUAAAGAAGCACCGGCUAACUACGUG